AACUUUUCGAAUCUGUGCUGAGAUUUCGUUAUACACCAACUUGUUAGGGCUGAUCACACUUCUAAGAUAAGUGAAGUU
This 78-nucleotide microRNA precursor is filed under the name Schistosoma mattheei. RNAcentral's name for it is "mir-3492 microRNA precursor family". It matches the Rfam family "mir-3492 microRNA precursor family". Lineage: Eukaryota; Metazoa; Platyhelminthes; Trematoda; Strigeidida; Schistosomatidae. The record is from Rfam by way of RNAcentral.